ACGCCCCUGGCACUUGGAGAUGUGAGGACUAAUGGUGACAAUACCAUCCUUUAUGUGAUUAAAUGUGAUGUGUUGCAUUUCAUGAAAGCAUGUAAAGUAAAAGUUAUGUUAUUUAAUGUUAAUAAUAAAAUGAAUAAUAAUAUACCUAAAAAGUGUGGAAUUAAAGCAAAUGUAAAUAAUAAAACGGAGAAUAAAAUACCUAAAAAUGGAGGAAUUAAUAUCAUGUUUUUACUUUUGCUCACUGGGCUUUUUAGCUCACCCCUCUCCCCUAACCCCAGUCUUGCAGGUACUGUGUAGAUAGAGAAGUCAGAAGAGUAAGAGGAGGUUAUGUAAUAGCAUAGCUGUGGACAUGGUUUAUUCAUAAUGUAAAAGUAUGUAAUGUAAUGAAAUGUAAGUUUUAUAGUGUGCUUGACUAGAGUCUGUUGUAAUCCCUUAAAUACAUGAGAUAAAUGUUUUAUGAUGUUUAUGUAACCCAAGCCUGAUAUAUGUUAUGUACCCCAUUGGAGUAUUUGUUGAGAACUCCAAUGAGGGGUUUAUGUUAUGAUUAUGCAUGCACAGGCUAGGCUGGGUAAAGAAAAGUUUUAAUUUUUAUGUAUGUUUUGGUUCAUGUAUGGGAUUAAACAGGUUCACAGGAUGUAUGUUUGGCUUGCUACGGGUUCCGGCGGCCUUAAGCCGACCUGAAUCCUAGCGCCGGUAGCGGUCCGGUUUCCGGGU
This 714-nucleotide long non-coding RNA is filed under the name Manihot esculenta (cassava). Its description in RNAcentral is "long non-coding RNA (MESC_LNC007147)". Lineage: Eukaryota; Viridiplantae; Streptophyta; Magnoliopsida; Malpighiales; Euphorbiaceae. The record is from RNAcentral.